RNAcentral lists this ribosomal RNA (253 nucleotides) under uncultured bacterium. RNAcentral describes it as "partial 16S ribosomal RNA". It matches the Rfam family "Bacterial small subunit ribosomal RNA", at positions 524 to 776 of the family's 1533-position model. The record is from RNAcentral.
UACGUAGGCAGCAAGCGUUGUUCGGAAUUACUGGGCGUAAAGAGUGUGUAGGCGGUGCUCCAAGUCUGGUGUGAAAUCUCCCGGCUUAACUGGGAGGGUGCGGCGAAAACUGGAAUGCUAGAGGAUGGGAGAGGUAAGCGGAAUUCCUGGUGUAGCGGUGAAAUGCGUAGAUAUCAGGAGGAACACCUGUGGUGUAGACAGCUUACUGGACCAUUUCUGACGCUGAGACACGAAAGCGUGGGUAGCAAACAGG